Molecule: ribosomal RNA, 717 nt
Filed under: Microcystis aeruginosa UADFM1
Lineage: Bacteria; Bacillati; Cyanobacteriota; Cyanophyceae; Chroococcales; Microcystaceae
Description: bacterial SSU rRNA
Rfam family: Bacterial small subunit ribosomal RNA
Source: RNAcentral
GAUGAACGCUGGCGGCGUGCCUAACACAUGCAAGUCGAACGGGAAUCUUCGGAUUCUAGUGGCGGACGGGUGAGUAACGCGUAAGAAUCUAACUUCAGGACGGGGACAACAGUUGGAAACGACUGCUAAUACCCGAUGUGCCGCAAGGUGAAACCUAAUUGGCCUGAAGAAGAGCUUGCGUCUGAUUAGCUAGUUGGUGGGGUAAGAGCCUACCAAGGCGACGAUCAGUAGCUGGUCUGAGAGGAUGAGCAGCCACACUGGGACUGAGACACGGCCCAGACUCCUACGGGAGGCAGCAGUGGGGAAUUUUCCGCAAUGGGCGAAAGCCUGACGGAGCAACGCCGCGUGAGGGAGGAAGGUCUUUGGAUUGUAAACCUCUUUUCUCAAGGAAGAAGUUCUGACGGUACUUGAGGAAUCAGCCUCGGCUAACUCCGUGCCAGCAGCCGCGGUAAUACGGGGGAGGCAAGCGUUAUCCGGAAUUAUUGGGCGUAAAGCGUCCGCAGGUGGUCAGCCAAGUCUGCCGUCAAAUCAGGUUGCUUAACGACCUAAAGGCGGUGGAAACUGGCAGACUAGAGAUCAGUAGGGGUAGCAGGAAUUCCCAGUGUAGCGGUGAAAUGCGUAGAGAUUGGGAAGAACAUCGGUGGCGAAAGCGUGCUACUGGGCUGUAUCUGACACUCAGGGACGAAAGCUAGGGGAGCGAAAGGGAUUAGAUACCCC